AGUCCCACAGAUCAUCUUGAGGUAACAAACUGCUCAGAGGACAGACACAGUCCACCUGUCAGAGUCACGGAUGGAGAUUUAAGCAGAAAAUCACCUUCUCAUGACCUGGAGCAUCUGAGACCAGUUGAGCACACAGCAAACCUGUUAGAUGCCAUCAGACAGGUUCCAGAAAGACUUUGUGUGACAAAAAAAUUGGUAUGUGGCAUGAGUAUUUAUUACAAGGUAAUUUCCAUAAAUGUAGAUUGCAGAUGAAUUUUCUUAUAUAUUUACCUCGGCUUUAAAGUCACUAAACACAUAUGACAUCUAUUAUGUCUUUCUGUGCUGUUGACUCGAUAUAUAGAUGGUUGUACCUUGUACUCUCAAACAUGACGAGUAAAAUAAAAC
Molecule: long non-coding RNA, 384 nt
Organism: Cyprinus carpio carpio
Lineage: Eukaryota; Metazoa; Chordata; Actinopteri; Cypriniformes; Cyprinidae
Source: Ensembl